GACGAACGCUGGCGGCGUGCUUAACACAUGCAAGUCGAGCGGAGCGGCGAACGGGUGAGUAACGCGUGAGUAACUGCCCCCCUCUCUGGGAUAACAGUUGGAAACGGCUUCUAAUACCGGAUAGUGGGGGAUGCCUCGCGUCCUAUCAGCUUGUUGGUGGGGUAGUGGCCUACCAAGGCGACGACGGGUAGCCGGCCUGAGAGGGCGACCGGCCACAUUGGGCUGAGAGACGGCCCAAACGCCUACGGGAGGCAGCAGUGGGGAAUAUUGAACAAUGGGGGAAACCCUGAUGCAGCAACGCGCGUGAGUGAUGAAGGUCUUCGGAUCGUAAAACUCUGUUAUUAGGGAAGAAGUAACUGUGCACAUCUUGACGGUACCUAAUCAGAAAGCCACGGCUAACUACGUGCCAGCAGCCGCGGUAAUUC
Molecule: ribosomal RNA, 425 nt
Filed under: uncultured bacterium
Lineage: Bacteria
Description: partial 16S ribosomal RNA
Rfam family: Bacterial small subunit ribosomal RNA
Source: RNAcentral